RNAcentral lists this ribosomal RNA (253 nucleotides) under uncultured bacterium. RNAcentral describes it as "partial 16S ribosomal RNA". It matches the Rfam family "Bacterial small subunit ribosomal RNA", at positions 524 to 776 of the family's 1533-position model. The record is from RNAcentral.
GACGGAGGAGGCAAGCGUUAUCCGGAUUUACUGGGCGUAAAGCGUGCGCAGGCGGUCCGCUAAGACAGGUGUGAAAUCCCUGGGCUCAACCUAGGAAUUGCGCUUGUGACUGGCGGGCUAGAGUACGGUAGAGGGGGGUGGAAUUCCCGGUGUAGCAGUGAAAUGCGUAGAGAUCAGGAGGAACACCGAUGGCGAAGGCAGCCCCCUGGGCCUGUACUGACGCUCAGGCAAGAAAGCGUGGGGAGCAAACAGG